Molecule: non-coding RNA, 355 nt
Organism: Procambarus clarkii (red swamp crayfish)
Lineage: Eukaryota; Metazoa; Arthropoda; Malacostraca; Decapoda; Cambaridae
Source: RefSeq, a predicted model, not a curated record
UAUUUUCUACCACAGACGUGGUCAAACAUUUACAAUUCUAACAAUUACAAUUAUCCGGAAGGAUGAGGUGUAAAUAUUGUGACACCCAGCAGGAUGAGGUGUAAAUAUUGUGACACCCAGCAGGAUGAGGUGUAAAUAUUGUGACACCCAGCAGGAUGAGGUGUAAAUAUUGUGACACCCACCAGGAUGAGGUGUAAAUAUUGUGACACCCACCAGGAUGAGGUGUAAAUAUUGUGACACCCAGCAGGAUGAGGUGUAAAUAUUGUGACACCCACCAGGAUGAGGUGUAAAUAUUGUGACACCCGCCAGGAUGAGGUGUAAAUAUUGUGACACCCGCCAGGAUGAGGUGUAAAUA